Molecule: ribosomal RNA, 251 nt
Filed under: uncultured bacterium
Lineage: Bacteria
Description: partial 16S ribosomal RNA
Rfam family: Bacterial small subunit ribosomal RNA
Source: RNAcentral
ACGUAGGUGGCGAGCGUUAUCCGGAAUGAUUGGGCGUAAAGGGUGCGUAGGUGGCAGAUCAAGUCUGGAGUAAAAGGUAUGGGCUCAACCCGUACUUGCUCUGGAAACUGAUCAGCUAGAGAACAGAAGAGGACGGCGGAACUCCAUGUGUAGCGGUAAAAUGCGUAGAUAUAUGGAAGAACACCGGUGGCGAAGGCGGCCGUCUGGUCUGGAUUCUGACACUGAAGCACGAAAGCGUGGGGAGCAAAUAG